Molecule: ribosomal RNA, 119 nt
Filed under: Phaseolus vulgaris (common bean)
Lineage: Eukaryota; Viridiplantae; Streptophyta; Magnoliopsida; Fabales; Fabaceae
Source: RNAcentral
AGGUGCGAUCAUACCAGCACUAAUGCACCGGAUCCCAUCUGAACAACGCAGCUAAGUGGCCUUGGGCCAGAGUAGUACUAGGAUGGGUGACCUCCUGGGAAGUCCUCGUGUUGCACUUC